Long non-coding RNA from Hibiscus syriacus, 833 nucleotides. RefSeq lists it as uncharacterized. Lineage: Eukaryota; Viridiplantae; Streptophyta; Magnoliopsida; Malvales; Malvaceae. The record is from RefSeq and is a predicted model, not a curated record. The transcript has 2 exons.
UUUUUUUCUUUCAGCCGCUUCCUUCCCCUCUCUAUUUUAUCCUCUCCUCUAUUCUUUUCUUUUUCCUCUUCUCCCCUCAAACCCACGGCCACCACAGCCGCCACCAUGUACGAACCCCAAUGAGGGGUCAAAUAGACCCCUUAAAACCUUACUCCUUAAACCAAAGACCCUAAGCCUUUCAAAAUAGAACCCCUUUUCUUUUGAACCAAUACAAAGCAUAACCCUAAACAACACCUUAUCCGCCCAUCUCCGACCAAGGCAAUCUCCAUGGUCACUGCCCCAUGAAGGCUCCUAUGAGGAACCUAGACAAAAUAGACCCCCUUCUCGUAAACCAAACCCUAUAUCUAACCAAAACACCCAACUUUUCUAAACCCUAGACCCAUUAGCUAAGAUUCCUGGAAAACAACUUUUCCCCAAAGACCCUGAACACAAAGACACGGACUAACGACGAAGGAUUUACCUUCAACUCGACGGGGUUUUCGCUCCUAGCAACGUCGACGAGGACUUCUGGACAGGAAAGGUACCAUCCAAGUGGUUGCACGAACGAGACAGCUGGCCCAUGUGAAGGCUUCGGGUGGAGCUAGGCCGUUGGAUCACUAAUUGGAUCCAACGGUUAGCAUUAGUGUGGCGGCGGUAGAAGAUGAUCUUAGGGUUAACAAAACCUAACUCAAGUAUAAUCCGACCGUUGAUCUCACAAGAGAUCCAACGGUGCAUGUUUAGGCGACGCUGGGAAUGACAGAAACCUUAUUUGUGUGGGACUACUACUUCUUGGGGCUCAAAUGGUUCAUUUGUAAUUAUUUUGGGCUUGUAAAAUAAAAUAUUUAAUUAGUACA